This 838-nucleotide ribosomal RNA is filed under the name uncultured archaeon. RNAcentral's name for it is "bacterial SSU rRNA". It matches the Rfam family "Archaeal small subunit ribosomal RNA", at positions 21 to 859 of the family's 1478-position model. The record is from RNAcentral.
AGGUUACUGCUAUCGGUGUUCGCCUAAGCCAUGCGAGUCAUAUGUUCGUAAGAACAUGGCGUACUGCUCAGUAACACGUGGAUAACCUGCCCUUGGGUCCGGCAUAACCCCGGGAAACUGGGGAUAAUUCCGGAUAACGCACAUAUGCUGGAAUGCUUUAUGCGUAAAAUGGAUCCGUCUGCCCAAGGAUGGGUCUGCGGCCUAUCAGGUAGUAGUGGGUGUAAUGUACCUACUAGCCUACGACGGGUACGGGUUGUGAGAGCAAGAGCCCGGAGAUGGAUUCUGAGACAUGAAUCCAGGCCCUACGGGGCGCAGCAGGCGCGAAAACUUUACAAUGCGGGAAACCGUGAUAAGGGGACACCGAGUGCCAGCAUCCUAUGCUGGCUGUCCGGGUGUGUAAAAUACACCUGUUAGCAAGGGCCGGGCAAGACCGGUGCCAGUCGCCGCGGUAACACCGGCGGCCCGAGUGGUGAUCGUGAUUAUUGGGUCUAAAGGGUCCGUAGCCGGUUUGGUCAGUCCUCCGGGAAAUCUGACAGCUUAACUGUUAGGCUUUCGGAGGAUACUGCCAGACUUGGAACCGGGAGAGGUAAGAGGUACUACAGGGGUAGGAGUGAAAUCUUGUAAUCCCUGUGGGACCACCUGUGGCGAAGGCGUCUUACCAGAACGGGUUCGACGGUGAGGGACGAAAGCUGGGGGCACGAACCGGAUUAGAUACCCGGGUAGUCCCAGCCGUAAACGAUGCUCGCUAGGUGUCAGGCAUGGCGCGACCGUGUCUGGUGCCGCAGGGAAGCCGUGAAGCGAGCCACCUGGGAAGUACGGCCGCAAGGCUGAAACUUAA